AAGUUUUACUUACGACACACACAGUCUGCAGACACAGAGACAAAACCACAGCAACACGACUCGACUGUGUGUGUUCUAUGUUUUCUAUUGUGCAGCAGCCACCACCAAACUGAAACCUCCACAGUCCAGAAAAAGAAUGACACAGCAGUCAAAAUUCUUUAUUAAAAAUGAUGAUUCAAGCUCUAAAUGUAACGACAUUCAACAAACAAUCACAGAGGACUUGAGUCUCCCGAGCACAGAGGACCCAGCAGAAUGUGACUCGGUCAUUGUGUUUUGUCUGAUUAGAGAUCGAAGAUCAGACGUACAAUUUGCCCUUGAGCAGUUACCAGAACCGGCAAAAACAAAACCAGUUAUUUUAGUGGCGAUUCAUCACACGUGGAAAAAAAACGACCCAGAGAUUGAAAUAUUGGAACAUCAAUCAUGAGAGAAUUGUUCUGACUGUUUCUGUUCUUUUCCAUGAAGAUAAAGGACUAUUUAGAGAUGAAAAAUAUGACAAGGCCAUUCAGAAUAUAAAGGACAU
This is a long non-coding RNA of Boleophthalmus pectinirostris (great blue-spotted mudskipper), 520 nucleotides long. RefSeq lists it as uncharacterized. The record is from RefSeq and is a predicted model, not a curated record. The transcript is spliced from 3 exons. NCBI's taxonomy places the organism in Eukaryota, Metazoa, Chordata, Actinopteri, Gobiiformes, Gobiidae.